Molecule: RNA transcript, 1961 nt
Organism: Paramacrobiotus metropolitanus
Lineage: Eukaryota; Metazoa; Tardigrada; Eutardigrada; Parachela; Macrobiotidae
Gene name: peptidyl-prolyl cis-trans isomerase-like 4
Exons: 11
Source: RefSeq, a predicted model, not a curated record
CCAUCACUUUUCAGUUUUACUUAAAUUCAAGCUUUUGUGAAUUUUGUCAUUAAUUUGUGAUUAUUACAGUAUUAUGUCUUUUUAGUAAGUACUGUACUGUAGUUUUACCUUUGCCGUGAUCUGCUCCUAAUUAUCUGGCGUUUUGAGCACUCCUCGGUUAGUCGGUUGGAUAACUUUUAUUCCGCAGAAUCUCCUGAGAGCCAUAACACAUGAUCACGAGUAAUUAUAAUCUGAGAGUUUCUUAUGGUGUCGUUGGCAUCCAUUUUGAAACCGUUCUGUGCUGAUACCCACUUGUGAUGGCUGUCAUCCUAGAAACCACAUUAGGCGACAUAACAAUCGAUCUUCUUGUGAAAGAGCGCCCAAGAGCAUGUAUGAAUUUCCUGAAGCUGUGCAAAAUCAAAUAUUAUAACUACUCCGUAUUCUUCAAUGUCCAACGCGACUUUAUCGCUCAGACCGGCGAUCCGACGGGCACAGGAAAAGGUGGAGAAUCCGUUUUCAGUAAGCUUUAUGGCGAUCAAGCCGCAUUCUUCGAACCAGAGAGCGUGCCUGUGCUCCGACACAUCAAGACAGGAACCGUCUCCAUGGCUGAUAAUGGACACAACAUGCAUGGAUCGCAGUUUUUUAUUACGCUGGGCGAGAAUCUGGACUACUUGGACGGUAAACAUACGGUGUUCGGGGAAGUGAGCGAGGGACUGGAUGUGCUGCAGAAGAUGAAUGAAUCCAUUGUGGACGACCACAAUCGACCGUAUCGCGACAUUAUGAUCAGCCACACAGUGAUUUUGGAUGAUCCCUUUCCUGAUCCCACCGGACUGAAUAUCCCCGAACGCUCGCCUUCUCCUACUAAAGAGCAGCUUGAGUCGAUGAGGCUAGCUCCAGGAGAAUCUGCGGAGGAAUUUGAAGGAUUAUCCAAAGAGGAAAUGGACGAAGUUGUGCAGGAGAAAGAAGCCGGCGCUCGAGCUAAGAUUCUUGAAAUGAUCGGAGACCUUCCCGACGCUGAUAUAAAACCACCUGACAAUGUCUUGUUUGUCUGCAAACUGAAUCCGGUGACUACGGACGAUGAUCUCUUCAUUAUAUUCAGCCGAUAUGGCCCUGUUAAAAGCUGUGAAGUUAUUCGCGACAAAAAAUCCGGAGAGUCGUUGCAGUAUGCUUUUAUCGAAUUUGAAGAGGCCGAUCAUUGUGCAAACGCCUACUUCAAAAUGGAUAACGUGCUGAUUGAUGACAGAAGGAUCCACGUCGAUUUUAGUCAAUCUGUUUCCAAACUGGAUUGGAUGAGCAAAUGGAAACAAUCCCGCGCUGGCAUGGCGAGUAGAGUUGCUCCGAGCGAAAAAAAGGAAAAGCUUCCUCAAAAAUCAGCGGAACGUGAGGGAAAGAACCAUUCCAAAAGCAGCGAUAAGCGAUCGGAAAAAGAUGUUGACCGCAGACGUUCUCCAGGCCCGCCUCGGAGGAUAAGGAGCAGAUCUGACGACAAACACACUGUGCGGAAGUCUUCGCCAUCCCGGCGGUCUCGAUCGCGCGAACGGCGUAGGCGUAACCGUAGUUCUUCCAGGGAUCGCAGUCAUAAAAGGCACUCACCUGUCCGGGACCGAAGCCGAGAGCGCCGUUCCGAACGCGACAAAAGGGAUCGCUCAUCUUCGCCCUCCUCUCACCGGCGCCGAAGACGUUAAGACAGUAAUAUUUGCUUCGAAUAUUUGUUGCCUUUCGAUUGCAAUGAGGUUUGCGCACGAAUUAGACUUCUGCUUUGAACCGGAAGUAAUUAUUUUGUGCUUGAUUGUUUAUCUUUCGAUUGUUUAUGUUCGCAGCUGCAAAAUCAGCAAAUGAACGUACAAUUACUCGGGAAAAUCGUGAUUUCAUCUCGACGACGGCUCAAAGCCUCAAACUCAUUCAUCCGCUUGGAUGCAAUCCCGAUCCGGAUCAAUCUUGCCAAGAUAUUUGUCGUAUCUUUAAGCAUCAUCCAGGGAUCC